Molecule: long non-coding RNA, 11666 nt
Filed under: Prunus persica (peach)
Lineage: Eukaryota; Viridiplantae; Streptophyta; Magnoliopsida; Rosales; Rosaceae
Description: long non-coding RNA (PPER_LNC005848)
Source: RNAcentral
GAUUGGUCAUUAGAGCAAUAAUUUUGUGAUCCCAACUUUGUCUGAAAAGUCAUUCUUUUAUAUUUUGGCUCCGAGGUCUUCAUGCCGUGUCAUCUCGUGUUUGUGUAAAAAGACGGUCAAUCAAACCUAACCACAUUUAUUUACUUAAUCAUGGCAUCAAAUCUUAUUGAUUAUUAAUGGACUCAUGUUAGAAAGAUCAUAUUUAUAGAACACAUUGUGUACCAUCUCUCUAGAUGAAGCUCACUAAUACAAUAGGUCUCACUUCUAUACUUUAUUAGAGAGGUGGUACAUAAUAAGUUGGUCUAUAAAUAUGGUCUCCUUACCCUACCCAAGGUGAGUCAUAUUUCCUUAUUUUUUGCACCACAUUUGAAUACCUCUAAUUUGGCAGGUGAGGUAUACAUGUCAUGUCAAUUAAUUAAUCAAUCUCAUUUGAUUUUUUUUUUUUUUUGCCGAUGCGAAUUUCAUUAGAUGUUGGUUGUAUUUAGAGAUGUCAAACGGGUUGUGUUGAGCCGGCCCGUCCCAUUUAAUCUCAUACUUUUAAUAUUUUUGUGCUUUGUCGAGCCGUGCCAUUUAAUUUAUCGGACCAUGCCGUGCUGGUCCAUUUAGGAAAAUCAUUGAUCCCGGCCGAGCCCAAAGCCCAUGUCCAUAUUGGAACGGGCCGGGCCGGACUCUUGUCAUGCCCAUGCUCGUGCUCAUGCCAUAAUUAGGUCCAAGAACUACCCCAUUUCAUUUGAAUUUUUUUCACUUUAUUUUUUUUUUUGCCCACAAGAUAAUUCAAAUUAUAAACAUUGUUGGUAAAUUUUAACAACAAUAUUAAAACCUUGCAAGUGCACAAAUCAAAUGAUAGUAUAGUAAGCAAGCAAGGGUCGAUCCCACGGAGAUUGUGAUCUAAAGAGAUGUUUAUCAAUGUCACGCAAUGAAAAUCAAAACAAAGGACUUCCAAACACACGCCAACACCAAGGGGGGUUUUGAUUUGUUUUUGUGAAUCAAACAAAAUAAGGAAAAGGAAACAAAAGAGAAUUUAAAUUAGAGUUUAAGAGAAAUUGGUUUAAAAUCAAUCAAGAACAAUAGCUAGGACUUACUAUCCACCUCCAAACAAUCAAUCAAUCCAUAAACAACAAUAGAUAAUCAAUUUCUAGCAAGCAUAUGAUGACGACACUCACAACAAGAUCAUGGCAUUUGACUCGAGUUGUAUGAUUCUCUCUUAAGUGUAUGUAAAGUGUAUGGCAUUUACAUCAAUACGUGUAUUCUUAAUUGAAAUCUAGUAUGGCAUUUACUCAAAUUAACAAUCAAGAAUCCAUUAAGAUCAAAGAGAAUAUGAGUGUCACAAAAACCCUAAAACAUGGCAUUUGUUAUUAGGAAUUCAAGAAUCGAUUUCUCAUAACUAGUUCUUAACCCAAUUAUUCGUUGCAAACAAGAACACAUUCAAUAUGGCAAUUGACCUAUGUUCUACAACAAUUUAAUUCCAAUACAUGCUUCUAAGUCAGCUACUCAAAGAAACAAAAUAUCAGAAUUCACAUAACAUAGAGAAACCGAAAUCAUCACGCUUGUAGAAACUAAAAAUCCAUUAAACUUGUUUAUAAAAUUGAAAUCAUGUUUAGGGCUUCAAGAUUAAGCCCUAACUAACAAGAAAUUAGUUACUCAUGGUCUUGGAUGAACUCAAAAAUAAAUACAUAAGAACUGAAAAUUAAAAGAAGGAAGGAAAAGAAAGAACUCGUUCGCAGCUUUCUCCUCUUGCCCGGUUGAUCUCUUUAGGACGUGAAUGCUUUUUUAUCAGGCCUUGGCUCGUCUUUUAUAUCACUUAUAUCAGAGUUCUAAACCCUAAAAUUGACUGAAAAGUCGUCCGAGAAGUCUUGGUAAACAAGGAAUCCAAAUAGGAAAGUAAAAAUCACAAUUCCUAACUCCACUGGGAAAUACAGCUCAGCCCAAUGUUCACACGAUUUGGGGAUCUUCGACCUUGUAGAAAAAUCAUUAAAAAUAUAUUUUAGAAAGAUAAAUGUCUUAUCUUUCCAACCAUAUAUAGCACGUAACUUGAAAAAUUCGGAAAGGCUUCCGUUUCUUCACAUUCACGUAACAUGUACGAAACUGUCCUGUCUGCACGUGGGCUAACUUUUCUUGUAAUACUGUACCAAUUGGCUCGGUAGAAAAUUCUAGAAAAAUCAUAGAUUGAACUUCAAGAUGUUAGCUUUCAUCUCCAAUUGGUCUUGCGCUAAAAUUCCUCCGAAAAGUUGAUUUUCCCUUAAAAACCUUCUAAGAGCGCAGAAAAGCUGAAAAUCAGAAAAAUAAAGUAAUAAGCCUUUUUUAAAUCUAAUUCUCUUACAAAACCAAAGUAAAAAGAGUACAUAAAUGAGUAUAUUUAUGGACUUAUCAAAUACCCACAACUUAGAUUUUGCUAGUCCUCGAGCAAAACAAAACGAAAAAUACAAACAAAAGAACAAAGACUCAAGACAAACAAACAACUAAAUUCCCAAUAUUGAUCUCAGAGAUAAUUACCAACGGUUAACUAACUUCCAAGAAAUAAGCAACAUUAACUCAAGGCAUUAUCAAGGGGUUAACCAAACUUUAAUUGAACAACUUGGAGUGUCGUGUGUGAAAUAGCCAACAUUAAUAUUAACACGACUUAUGCUUCACAAAAGUUAAAUAACCAAAUAAGAACAAGCUUUAACUUCAAUUCUCACCAAGGAUAUGUUCACUCCAAUGAAAGCACUCGAAUUUUGACAACGUAGUGUCACUCAUAUAUGUGAGAAGAAUCAAAUCAGUACGAUGUACUCACAUAAAAUAAAAGCACAAGACAAGAAUAAAAGAUCUCAUGGAAAGAUAUCGCAUACUUGAAAACAUUUAAACCAUCCGACCAUAGUCCUUACACACCUAUUCUCCACAUGAGGAACCACACUUCUCCUUGGAUCAAGUAGGACUUUCACUAAGGUUGUAAUAGGGCUUAUGGUGAUGGGUGAAACAAGAAAGAGACAUAGAUGAACAAACGAAGUCUAAGGGCUAAGUAAAGCUUUCCAUGAAAUUAUAACAUCUUGCACUUUAGCACACAAUUUUAUCUUGAUACUAUCUUUAAUUUUUUUUUUUUUUUUUUAACUCCAUUAGCUUUCUAAUCAACCCAUGUAAUAAGUGUUAGGCCAAUAACUCCCAAGCUAGAUAGCUUUAGGGUAUUAAGUGUAAAACACUCCUCGGGCUUAAAAACUCGAGUUGAAAAGGCUUCGGAAUCAGACUUUUUUUUUUCUUUUUUUUUUUUUUUGAAACAGUAUCAUAUACACAUGAUUGAACAAUUUGUGCAAUUCUCCCUUAACCAUGAAAGUGCUCUACAAAACUCCUUAGAAGGGUGUAGGAUAAAUAUGCAAAAGGUUCAGGUGAAGAGAAUUGGGUAAAGAAUGAUAAAGGCUUACAUAAAAGGCACAAGGGGUUGACUACGGAUAAAAUUGAUAUGGGUUGGCUGGAAAGGCUCAAACGAAUGAAACAAGGCCUAUAUCACUUCCUAGGAUCCAUGUGGUUCAUGAAAUAUGCCUCAAAUAGAUAAUGAAAGUAGUUCUAGCAAACAAUUUAAACAUCCUCAAGUACUUGACCAAAACAAAGAAUAAUGAGAUCACAACGACUUGUAGACAUGAAAAUUAUAGAAUAGUAUAUAACACUCAGGGAAGAAAGGUAUAGGCUCAAAAGCUCACAUAAUAAGGGUUGUACAAGUCUACACUAGCCUUAUUUGGGAAUUUAAAUCAUGUGAACUCCAAUCAAAACUCAUAUUAAUAUGGCUAUGUGCAAAAAUAUUUACCAAGUUUAAUCACAAAACUAAGGUUAACACAAGGAUAAUGUAAAGAAUUAAUAUCAUGCUCACAAUUCCUUGCAAGUUAAUUGUCAAUAAAAUUCAAUCUCAUCAUAGAAUUGGGAAGUGACUACUACAAAAAAAAAAAUAAAUAAAAACUAGACUCAAAGUUAAAGAAAAUAUUUUUAGGUUUUUAUGACAUUUUUCUGAUUUUUUAUUUUUUUAUUUUUUUAAAAGAAAAAAAAACUGAAAACAAAACAAAACAAUAGAAUAAAAACUAAUUAAAUAAAAACCAAAAGUUGAAGAGGGAUUGAAAAUCAAUAAACAAUGCUGCAGUUUUGACCCAGGUGCAAAGAAUGACAUGUAUCUCACAAAAUACUUGGCCAAAGUUCACGUUCUUCAUAUGGUUGGAUUCAGAUCGAAAAAACAAAGAACGCAACGUGGGCCAAAAUACAAAAGCAGCAGCAGAAAAGGACAUAAUUUGAAACAAAUACAGAGGACUGCUGCAGCAUACAUUAUGAAACCAAAGAACUCAAUCACCCACAACUUAAAACAAACAUUGUCCUCAAUGUUAAAAACAAAGAAACAUAAGUCAUGCAAAUUCAUUUAAAGAGAGAGAGAGGGGUGUGAGAACUUCCCGGGUUUGUGUAGAUGUAUGGAUGAGCAAAGCGUAGAAUACGUCGAAAUGAGAGAGGAUAGACAAUGAGACGAACUCAAACACCCACAACUUGUGUCUUUGAAUGCCAACGGACCCGUAAUAGCUCCUUAAAGUCUCGGAAUGAGAUGAAAUUGGAACGAAAUUGAGCUGGAUAUGUAAUCAUGAAAAUCUGGAAAUCUAACUUUUAGCGACGAAAAAUCUGAUGAACACCGCGGCUAAAAGCUCUUUGUUGACGAAAAAUCUGAUGAACACCGUCGCUAAAACCUCUUUGGUGACGAAAAAUCUUCAAAUUCUGGGCAAAACAGCAGCUGCCUUUUUUUUGUGUUUUAGGUCCUCCUUUGAGCUUCUAAUCGUCCUAAAACAUAAUGUAGGCCACCGGAGACCCCCAAACCUGGUCCAAAUCAUCAGAAUAACCAUUCUAAACAUGUUGGUGGCAUCAGAUUGACCUGAAAAACAGCAAAAAAUAAAUUAGGCAGAAAUUCUAGUUUUGACCAAACUAAGAACAUAAAAGCUAUUUUUCUGUUUUCUGGUAUCUAAACUCAGCCAAUGACCAAAAACACUUCUGUAACACAUUUGAAACAUGCUGCAAACACCCUAGGGCUAUAAAAAUGCGAAAAUUUAUCUUUGGAACACAAAAUCCAUAGUUUGAUGACACAAAACAUAACAAAAACAAAAAUAUGAAAAUUUACGAGAAAUCACACAUAAACUAAAAACAAAAACGAAAACAAAAAUUAAGAAUGCUUGGGUUGCCUCCCAAGAAGCGCUUCUUUAUAGUCGUGAGCUAGACGCUGUUCUUUAGAUGAUUAAUCAAUAGAUGGGGGUGGUGCAUCCACGUGCAUGCUCUCUUUUCCAAGCUCAAAAGAUUCAUAGUAUGGCUUCAAGCGAUGUCCGUUCACUUUGAAUAUGUUUCCCGUCUUGUCAUUUUGAAUCUCAACUGCACCGUGAGGGAAAACAUUAAUAACAACAAAAGGACCGUACCAUCUAGAACGCAACUUACCUGGGAAUAGCCGGAGGCGUGAAUUGAAGAGCAAGACUUUCUGCCCUAUUUCAAAGGUCUUCCUUUGAAUGGCUUUGUCAUGAAAUGCCUUCGUCUUUUCCUUAUAAAUCCGUGCACUCUCAUAGGCAUCAUUCCUCAUCUCAUCCAAUUCAUUCACUUGGAGUCGCCUUGCAUCUCCAGCCUCUUUCAUAUCGAAAUUGAAUUUCUUGAUUGCCCAAAAUGCUCUAUGUUCAAGUUCAACCGGAAGGUGACAUGCUUUACCAUAAACCAAACGAAAAGGAGACAUACCAAUGGGGGUUUUGUAAGCUGUCCUAUAUGCCCAUAAUGCUUCAUUAAGUCUCAAACUCCAAUCCUUUCUCGUAGGGCUCACGGUUUUCUCCAAGAUUUGCUUGAUGUCUCGGUUACUAAUCUCCACUUGUCCACUUGUUUGGGGAUGAUAAGGUGUCGAGACCCUAUGUGUAAUUCCAUACCGCUUUAAAAGUGCCUCAAAUGACCUAUUGCAAAAGUGAGUGCCUCCAUCGCUGAUAAAGGCUCUUGGUGUUCCAAACCUAGAAAAGAUGUUGUCCUUCACAAAACUCAAAACAACUUUUGAAUCAUUAGUCCGGGUAGGAAUUGCUUCCACCCAUUUAGAGACAUAGUCAACAGCAAGGAGAAUGUAAAUAAAGCCAUAAGAGGAAGGGAAUGGUCCCAUAAAAUCAAUGCCCCACACAUCAAAUAUUUCAACAAUAAGGAUAGGCGUUAAAGGCAUUUGAUUCCUAGAGCUAAUGUUACCGGUUCUUUGACAUCUAUCACAUGUGGAACAAUAAGUAUAUGCAUCUUUGAACAAGCUAGGCCAAUAGAAACCACAUUGCAAUACUUUAAGGGCUGUUUUCUUAUGAGGCGAAUCCGACGAAGUGUGCCACGNNNNNNNNNNNNNNNNNNNNNNNNNNNNNNNNNNNNNNNNNNNNNNNNNNNNNNNNNNNNNNNNNNNNNNNNNNNNNNNNNNNNNNNNNNNNNNNNNNNNNNNNNNNNNNNNNNNNNNNNNNNNNNNNNNNNNNNNNNNNNNNNNNNNNNNNNNNNNNNNNNNNNNNNNNNNNNNNNNNNNNNNNNNNNNNNNNNNNNNNNNNNNNNNNNNNNNNNNNNNNNNNNNNNNNNNNNNNNNNNNNNNNNNNNNNNNNNNNNNNNNNNNNNNNNNNNNNNNNNNNNNNNNNGUGAAGACAAAUAUCAAAUGAAUCACCAAAAACUGAAAAAUCAUCCAUAAAUACCUCUAUUAUCUCCUCUACCAUAUCAGAAAAAAUGGACAUCAUGCAACGUUGAAAAGUGGCAGGUGCGUUACAUAAACCAAAAGGCAUACGCCUAUAAGCAAACGUACCAAAUGGACAGGUGAAGGUGGUCUUUUCUUGAUCCUCUGGAGCUAUGGCAAUUUGAUUGUAUCCGGAGUAUCCAUCCAAGAAGCAAUAAUGACUAUGACCUGCAAGACGCUCAAGCAUUUGAUCAAUAAAUGGUAACGGAAAGUGAUCCUUACGUGUCGUGGUAUUGAGCUUUCUAUAAUCUAUGCAUACUCUCCAACCCGUUUGAAUUCUUUGAGGCACCAACUCAUUGUCUUCAUUCUUCACAACGGUAAUUCCGGAUUUCUUGGGAACAACUUGGACGGGACUCACCCACUUGCUAUCCGAAAUGGGGUAUAUAAUUCCCACGUCCAAAAGCUUCAAAAUUUCCUUCUUAACGACUUCUUUCAUCACCGGAUUCAGCCUCCUUUGGGCUUCCCUUGUAGGUUUCGAUUCUCCUUCCAAAAUGAUCCUAUGCAUGCACUUUGUAGGGCUUAUUCCUCUGAUGUCUGCAAUGGUCCAACCUAGGGCAGUCUUGUGCUCCCUUAGAACUCGAAUUAGUUUGUCUUCUUCGGAUGCACUCAAAUUAGAAGCAAUGAUCACAGGCAGCGUCUUUUCAUCACCUAAAUAUGCAUAUUUCAAGUUCUCUGGAAGGGGUUUUAGCUCAACCUGUGGUGCCUUCACAGUAGAGGGAACAAGCUUAUUAGUAGAUAAUGGAAGAGGCUCAAAAAUAGAGUUAAACUUACCUCUUUGGGGAGGCAAGGCCUCAAGCAUAUUCACAGCUUCAAGUACAGCUGUGUUCCCUUCUUCAUUCACAGUUUUGGGGCUUUGGAUGAGUGCCCUCUCCAAUGGUGUCUCUUCUUGUGAUGCAUUAAAUGUUUCUUGUACCAUUUGCUCAAGUACAUCCAUGGAAAAACAAGCAUGAUCAUCAUUAGGAUAUUUUAAAGCAUCAAAGACCUUAAACUCCACGGUUUCCUCAUCGAAUGCCAUUGUGAGAGUGCCUUCAUACACAUCAAUUUUUGUCCUUGCUGUUCUCAUGAAUGGACGUCCUAGAAUCAAUGGAAGGUCUUUUCCAGGAAUAGGAACUUCCUCCAUCUCUAGCACUAGAAAGUCAGCUGGAAAAAUUAGCUCAUUCACCUUGACCAAAACGUCUUCCAACACUCCCUUAGGAUACUUGAUUGAUCGAUCAGCCAAUUGUAUGCUCACGGAAGUCUUCUUAAGCUCACCUAAAUUUAAAGAUUCAAAAACAGAAAAAGGCAUCAAAUUAAUUGAAGCACCUAAGUCUAAUAAAGCAUGUUCAAACCUUUGAUUUCCAAUGAGACAAGGUAUAGUAAAACUCCCUGGAUCCUUUAGUUUAGGAGGUAAUUUACGCAAUAGCACGGCUGAGACUUCUUCACUUAAGGCCACGGUUUCAUGCUCCUUGAACGUCCUCUUAUUUGUACAAAGUUCUUUGAGGAAUUUUGCAUAUCUUGGAAUUUGUUGGAUUGCAUCGAGCAAGGGAAUGUUCACUUGCACUUUUCGGAAAGUCUCUAGGAUAUCCUUUGAAACUUGCUCCUUUUUUGAAUUCAAAAACCUACGAGGAAAAGGAACCUUUGAAGUAAUUGAAUGAUUCACAAGAGAACUUACCUUAGAGUUGUCACUUGGAACCGUAAGCUUGGGAGAGGGGGCAGCCACUGUUUUGGUUGAAUUUCUCUCCUCAUUGUCAUCCUUUUCCACCUUUUUUCCACUUCGAAGAGUAAUUGCAUUUGCGGUGUCAUGGCCUCCAUUAGGAUUUGGAAUUACUUGGCUUGGAAACUUUCCUGGCUCUCUUUGACUCAAGGAGGCUGCAAUUUGUCCAACUUGGUUUUCAAGGCUCUUGAUUGCUGUAGACAUUUGUGCCUGUGUUUGCCUUGUUUCCUGCAUAAAACCCUGAGUGCUUAAUGCCAAAGAAUUAAUUAACUCUUCUAAAGACUUACCUUGCCCAUGAGGUGGUGCAGGUGCAUUUUGUUGAGGAACAAAUUGAUUUUGUCGAACUGGGGCUGUUUGCACAUUUUGGUUGUUCUUCCAUCCAAAGUUAGGGUGUUGCCGCCAUCCCGGAUUAUAAGUGUUAGAAAAUGGAUCGUUUCUUGGCUUUUGUUGCUGCAUAUAGUGUGCUUGAGCCAUCUCUUCUCCAUCACCAUACAAACUUGGACAAGACUCCGUAGGAUGUCCGGGAUUAGCACACACAGCACACACUUGUGCUUGAGGGAUUAAUUGCUUAACAAGGUUAGUCAAAUUAGCUAUUUGAGGACCAAUAUCACUAGCACUUACCUCAUAAACACCUGCUUUCUUUGGGGGAGCUCUCCGGUAAUUAAACUGUUGAGAGUUUGCUGCAAUGUUCUCAAACAUCUCCUUGGCUUGAGUAGCACUCUUGUUCAUCAAACCUCCUCCACUAGUAGCAUCAACCAUCAUCCUCUCCGAAUCAAGUAAUCCCUCAUAAAAGUAUUGCAUAAGUAGCCAAUCUUCAAUUUGGUGAUGAGGGCAUGAAGCUAGGAGUCUCUGAAACCGAUCCCAAUACUCAUGAAAUGAUUCUCCAUCUAGCUGCUGCACUCCCAUGAUCUCCUUUCUAAUAUGGUUUGUCUUUUGAGCUGGAAAGAACUUUGCAAGGAACUUGGAAGCCAAUGAUGUCCAUGUGGUGACAGAUGCACUAGGUAAAGAAUAGAGCCACUCCUUGGCUCGUUCCUUGAGUGAGAAUGGAAAUAAACGCAAUCUGAUUGCCUCAUCACUAAUCCCUCCAUUGUGCAUAGUCGCGCACACGGCAAAGAAAUCCUUGAUAUGUAUGUGAGGAUCAUCCCCAGCCUUGCCAUAGAAUUGUGGCAAAAGGUGAAUGGUGCCACUCUUGAUCUCAAAGGUGGUUGUAGUGGCUGGAUAUGCGAUACAAGACGGCUGGUCCAAUGCUUUAGGAACUGUGAAAUCCUUCAAAGGUCGGGUGAGGUUGUUGAGUUCCAACUCGUCUCCCAUCUUGAUUGGAAGUGUAUCUUGCUUAUUUUUAUCUCGAUGGAGAUAACGAAGUGUGUUCUCUAGUUCAGGGUCGUAUGGUAUAAGCUCGUGACUCUGCGAACGACGACCCAGCAUAUACCUGAAAUUGAAAACAAAACUCAAUUAGAUUGAAAAUCCCCGGCAACGGCGCCAAAAACUUGUUGGUAAAUUUUAACAACAAUAUUAAAACCUUGCAAGUGCACAAAUCAAAUGAUAGUAUAGUAAGCAAGCAAGGGUCGAUCCCACGGAGAUUGUGAUCUAAAGAGAUGUUUAUCAAUGUCACGCAAUGAAAAUCAAAACAAAGGACUUCCAAACACACGCCAACACCAAGGGGGGUUUUGAUUUGUUUUUGUGAAUCAAACAAAAUAAGGAAAAGGAAACAAAAGAGAAUUUAAAUUAGAGUUUAAGAGAAAUUGGUUUAAAAUCAAUCAAGAACAAUAGCUAGGACUUACUAUCCACCUCCAAACAAUCAAUCAAUCCAUAAACAACAAUAGAUAAUCAAUUUCUAGCAAGCAUAUGAUGACGACACUCACAACAAGAUCAUGGCAUUUGACUCGAGUUGUAUGAUUCUCUCUUAAGUGUAUGUAAAGUGUAUGGCAUUUACAUCAAUACGUGUAUUCUUAAUUGAAAUCUAGUAUGGCAUUUACUCAAAUUAACAAUCAAGAAUCCAUUAAGAUCAAAGAGAAUAUGAGUGUCACAAAAACCCUAAAACAUGGCAUUUGUUAUUAGGAAUUCAAGAAUCGAUUUCUCAUAACUAGUUCUUAACCCAAUUAUUCGUUGCAAACAAGAACACAUUCAAUAUGGCAAUUGACCUAUGUUCUACAACAAUUUAAUUCCAAUACAUGCUUCUAAGUCAGCUACUCAAAGAAACAAAAUAUCAGAAUUCACAUAACAUAGAGAAACCGAAAUCAUCACGCUUGUAGAAACUAAAAAUCCAUUAAACUUGUUUAUAAAAUUGAAAUCAUGUUUAGGGCUUCAAGAUUAAGCCCUAACUAACAAGAAAUUAGUUACUCAUGGUCUUGGAUGAACUCAAAAAUAAAUACAUAAGAACUGAAAAUUAAAAGAAGGAAGGAAAAGAAAGAACUCGUUCGCAGCUUUCUCCUCUUGCCCGGUUGAUCUCUUUAGGACGUGAAUGCUUUUUUAUCAGGCCUUGGCUCGUCUUUUAUAUCACUUAUAUCAGAGUUCUAAACCCUAAAAUUGACUGAAAAGUCGUCCGAGAAGUCUUGGUAAACAAGGAAUCCAAAUAGGAAAGUAAAAAUCACAAUUCCUAACUCCACUGGGAAAUACAGCUCAGCCCAAUGUUCACACGAUUUGGGGAUCUUCGACCUUGUAGAAAAAUCAUUAAAAAUAUAUUUUAGAAAGAUAAAUGUCUUAUCUUUCCAACCAUAUAUAGCACGUAACUUGAAAAAUUCGGAAAGGCUUCCGUUUCUUCACAUUCACGUAACAUGUACGAAACUGUCCUGUCUGCACGUGGGCUAACUUUUCUUGUAAUACUGUACCAAUUGGCUCGGUAGAAAAUUCUAGAAAAAUCAUAGAUUGAACUUCAAGAUGUUAGCUUUCAUCUCCAAUUGGUCUUGCGCUAAAAUUCCUCCGAAAAGUUGAUUUUCCCUUAAAAACCUUCUAAGAGCGCAGAAAAGCUGAAAAUCAGAAAAAUAAAGUAAUAAGCCUUUUUUAAAUCUAAUUCUCUUACAAAACCAAAGUAAAAAGAGUACAUAAAUGAGUAUAUUUAUGGACUUAUCAAACAUUAAAAAUAUAAUUAGAUGCAAGAAAUGAUGAACUAUUUGAAAACAUUAAUCAAUCAAACAUCCAAACAAUAUAAAGGGGCGGAGGGCAAAAAGUGUCCAACUCCACAAAGUCCACUUCAACUUUUCAUAUUUAAACAACUUAUUAUUUUAUAUGUGAAGAAAUGUCUUGUUUUGAUUAUAACAGAAGUGUAUAUGU